AGUCCGUCGGUCUACCAGGAUUUGUUUCGUUUUGUCUCUUUUGAAUGAGGGUGUGCCCUAUUUUUGUUAUAUGUAAAAGCAUGCGCCGUGAAUGAAUCCAAGCGUGGAGUAUGUCGUUGACCUGAAGCCUUGUGCUCCGUGUUGUAUUUGCUUCAGCCCUCGUCAUCUUCAUUAUUAUUAACUCAAAUCGACCUUGGUCGAGCAGAUAUAUAAUCAACGACAUUCAAACCAUGGCCAUCCCGUCUUUUUAGGGACAUCAUCUCAUGUGUCCGUUGCUCUUUGAUUUCCCAACACGUUAGGGUAUGGUUUAAGAGAUAUUUAACUGCUAUUUCUAGCAGGUAGAACGAUCCCUUUGACUCUUUCAAGGCCUAUACUGUCAUUUUUGUAAUAUCUAUCUUUGUAGCUCAUCCUUCAGUUCCUAUAUUUAUCUCUCUUUCUCCUUGUCUCUCUCAUUAUUUCUUUCUUACUCCUAAUCUCUCUCGCUCUUUCCCACUUUCUCACCUUCUUGUGUCCAUCGACGUCUCCGUCUCCUAUUGUUUAUAUGUCUAUUCAUUUCUCUCCUUUCUGUUUCCUGUAUGUAAUUAAUAACCGUGACACUCCGGACCGGCAUGUACAUUAACUCGGAGAAAUUACCGCAUGAAAUAACAAAAAUAACAAACCCGAACUCGACAUAAAACAGCCAAGGACGAAAAUCUCGACUAAUACAAAGAAAAUGUGAAUGAAAAGAAAAGAGAUUGUUAGUAAACUAAACCUCCCAUCGGUCUCGAAAUACACAAAACAGCUCCCACUAUUCAUAUUUUACACAAAGAAGUUACAUAAAAAAGAUUUAAAGAUCGUAUAUAAGGUGAUCAGUCUAGAAUGUUAGUACAAUUGCGGAGAUUUCGUUCAUUGAGAAUGUUGAAGUCUUUUUUACUUCAGUCGCGUGUCGGCCAAUGUCUUGUAAUUUUUGGAUUUGCAUUUUUGUUGUACCUGUACUGGGCCUCUAAGUUCAAGUCACUUGAUAACAGAAAAAUCCAAGGAGAAGCAUUAUCUGCUCCACCGGCUCAAUCUUUGACUUUUGAAAAGCAGCAGUUCUAUUUGAAAGGAAAGAAGAUCCGCAUUUUAGCUGGAUCAGUCCAUUACUUCAGGAUUGUUCCACAAUAUUGGAUGCCUGUUUUGAAGAAACUAAAAGCAUGUGGCCUGAAUACAGUAGUUACCUAUGUCCCUUGGAAUCUGCACGAACCUUCUCCAAACCACUAUGUGUUUUACGGAAUGUUAGACUUAAUGAAAUUCCUUAUAUUUGCUCACAGUUUAGAUUUGUAUGUCAUUCUGAGACCAGGACCCUAUAUCUGCUCUGAAUGGGAUUUUGGAGGACUCCCCAGCUGGCUCCUACGUACCCAUGCAUCUCUCCGUUCUAAUUCAGCACCUUACAUGUUUGCAGUUGAGAGAUAUUUUGCUAAUCUGCUGCCACAAGUUGUUGAUUUUCAGUAUUUCUAUGGCGGACCCAUCAUAGCUUUCCAACUAGAGAAUGAAUUUGGUUCCUUCAGUAAUGAGGUGCAACACCUGGAAAACCUACGAGAGCUUUUUAUCAAGAAUGGUGUCCAUGAAUUAUUGCUAAUCUCAGAUGGAUUGUCAGGAAUCAUAAGAGCUACCAUUCCUGGCGUUCUAUUGACUGCAAACUUUGGUGGCCACCAGAGAGGCAAAGAUAUAUUCAAAGUCAUUACAGACAUAAACCCGGAAAACCCGUUAAUGGUCAUGGAAUUUUGGUCUGGUUGGUUUGACCACUGGGGCAACAAGUAUCGAGAAUCAAAACCUUUGGAAACAUUCAAGAAGACCUUCCAGUUUAUUCUAAAUCAGAAUGCAUCAUUCAACUUCUAUAUGUUUAUGGGUGGAACAAAUUUUGGAUUCAUGGCUGGAGCGAACGGUCAGAAAGAGAAAUAUGCACCAGAUGUCACUAGUUAUGAUUAUGAUGCGUUGCUGUCUGAAUCCGGGGACAUUACAGAGAAAUACCUGACUGCACAGAGAAUGAUAUACGAGCAGGUACUUAAACCUGAAGGAAUUAGCCAUCCUCCUCAAAUAUUAAGCGACAAUCCAAAGGCAAAAUAUGGUGCGUUGACUGUUUCAAGCUACCUGUCUUUCAAAGAUAUGCUAGAUAUUGUCUCUGAACUACAACUGUCUUCAUUCGAAACCAAGAUGGAAUUCAUGGAAUUGUUGAACAUGAACUUCAAUGCAGGACAGAGUUAUGGCUACAUUCUGUAUGAAAAAUCAUUGCCGAAAGUGAAGACCUUAAAGAUUGGUGGAUCAGUUGCUGAUCGAGCACAUAUCUUACUGAACCAUCAAGUGAUGUUUACAGUCAACUGGACUGUAUCCAACCCUCAGUUUUCCCUCCCUGAUAAUGAUGGAAUCAAACUGGGUAUAUUGGUGGAAAACCUAGGUCGAGUCAACUAUUUGAUGUUUGAUGAUAAACAUUCUUUCUCAAAUCAGUUUAAAGGUUUAGAUGGUGAAGUGUAUUUAGAUGGAAAACUUGAAGAAUAUUGGAAUAUCUACCCAUUGGACUUUUCCAGCGAAUUUCUUGACAAAGUGGCAGAAUCGGACAACUGGAAGGAUGUAAUUCCUGAGGUACACUCACCAGCGAUGUACAAAAUCACUUUCACCCUAUCUUCUCAUCCUGCAGAUACAUUCCUCAACCUUGAUGGUUGGGUGAAAGGAAUUGUUAUAGUGAAUGGCUUUAAUCUUGGCCGCUACUGGAACAUUGGACCACAGAAGACUUUGUAUCUACCAGCACCACUUUUAGAGAUUGGCCUCAAUGUUAUUUAUAUAUUUGAAGAAGAACAAGGAGAGAAAUAUAUAAUGUCAGUCGAUCAACCAGAUUUGGGAAAAAUUUCAUCUGGAGACAAGAAUUAAAUUAAUUUGUUUGGCGAACAAUGUUUCCAGAGUGACAAUGAUUUCCGUAUAUUUUUAUCUUCCUUAUGCUUUUAUGCAGAGAGAGAGAAAGAGAGAGAGAUCUUCUUUUAUAAAAUAAUUAUUUAUUUUUGAAA
Molecule: unclassified non-coding RNA, 3017 nt
Filed under: Octopus sinensis (East Asian common octopus)
Lineage: Eukaryota; Metazoa; Mollusca; Cephalopoda; Octopoda; Octopodidae
Description: beta-galactosidase-1-like protein 2, transcript variant X2
Source: RNAcentral